AAUCUUGUAGCUUAUAUAUAGAGCAAUUUACUGAAGAUAAAGAAGACUAAAAACCUUUCAUUUU
This 64-nucleotide transfer RNA is filed under the name Selenops bursarius. RNAcentral describes it as "tRNA-Phe". The record is from RNAcentral. Lineage: Eukaryota; Metazoa; Arthropoda; Arachnida; Araneae; Selenopidae.